CAAGGAUUCCCCUAGUAACUGCGAGUGAAGCGGGAAAAGCUCAAAUUUAAAAUCUGGCAGUCUUUGAUUGUCCGAGUUGUAAACUAGAGAAGUGUUAUCCGUGCUGGACCGUGUAAAAGUCUCCUGGAAUGGAGCAUCAUAGAGGGUGAGAAUCCCGUCUUUGACAUGGACUACCAGUGCUUUGUGAUGCGCUCUCAAAGAGUCGAGUUGUUUGGGAAUGCAGCUCAAAAUGGGUGGUAAAUUCCAUCUAAAGCUAAAUAUUGGCGAGAGACCGAUAGCGAACAAGUACCGUGAGGGAAAGAUGAAAAGAACUUUGGAAAGAGAGUUAAACAGUACGUGAAAUUGCUGAAAGGGAAACGCUUGAAGUCAGUCGCGUCGGCCAGGAAUCAACCUUGCUUUUGCUGGGCGUACUUUCUGGUUGACGGGUCAGCAUCAAUUUUGACUGCUGGAAAAAGUUCAAGGGAAUGUGGCAUCUUCGGAUGUGUUAUAGCCCUUGUUCGCAUACAGCAGUUGGGAUUGAGGUACUCAGCACGCCGCAAGGCCGGGUUUCGACCACGUUCGUGCUUAGGAUGCUGGCAUAAUGGCUUUAAUCGACCCGUCUUGAAACACGGACCAAGGAGUCUAACAUGCCUGCGAGUGUUUGGGUGGAAAACCCAAGCGCGCAAUGAAAGUAAAAGUUGAGAUCCCUGUCAUGGGGAGCAUCGACGCCCGGACCAGAGCUUUUGUGACGGAUCUGCGGUAGAGCAUGUAUGUUGGGACCCGAAAGAUGGUGAACUAUGCCUGAAUAGGGUGAAGCCAGAGGAAACUCUGGUGGAGGCUCGUAGCGAUUCUGACGUGCAAAUCGAUCGUCAAUUUGGGUAUAGGGGCGAAAGACUAAU
RNAcentral lists this ribosomal RNA (878 nucleotides) under Bolbitius titubans. RNAcentral's name for it is "eukaryotic LSU rRNA". It matches the Rfam family "Eukaryotic large subunit ribosomal RNA", at positions 69 to 935 of the family's 3401-position model. The record is from RNAcentral. Lineage: Eukaryota; Fungi; Basidiomycota; Agaricomycetes; Agaricales; Bolbitiaceae.